UGGGGAAUAUUGGACAAUGGAGGAAACUCUGAUCCAGCAAUUCUGUGUGUGUGAAGAAGGUUUUAGGACUGUAAAACACUUUUAGUAGGGAAGAAAAAAAUGAAGGUACCUACAGAAGAAGCAACGGCUAAAUACGUGCCAGCAGCCGCGGUAAUACGUAUGUUGCGAGCGUUAUCCGGAAUUAUUGGGCUUAAAGGGCAUCUAGGCGGUAAGACAAGUUGAAGGUGAAACCCUGUGGCUCAACCAUAGGCUUGCCUACAAAACUGUUGAACUAGAGUACUGGAAAGGUGGGUGGAACUACACGAGUAGAGGUGAAAUUCGUAGAUAUGUGUAGGAAUGCCGAUGAUGAAGAUAACUCACUGGACAGAAACUGACGCUGAAGUGCGAAAGCUAGGGGAGCAAACAGG
Molecule: ribosomal RNA, 407 nt
Filed under: Verrucomicrobiota bacterium
Lineage: Bacteria; Pseudomonadati; Verrucomicrobiota
Description: Verrucomicrobia bacterium partial 16S ribosomal RNA
Rfam family: Bacterial small subunit ribosomal RNA
Source: RNAcentral